RNAcentral lists this long non-coding RNA (1272 nucleotides) under Gallus gallus (chicken). Its description in RNAcentral is "long non-coding RNA NONGGAT004978". The record is from RNAcentral. Lineage: Eukaryota; Metazoa; Chordata; Aves; Galliformes; Phasianidae.
CGGGGAGCCGCGGUACAUCCCAGACCUCGGGACGCGGAGCGGUACCCGCACAACUUCUCGGCACUUCGGGGUGCUGCCCCUACAGCCGCAUCGCACCGCGCUCCCCCCUCCCGACAUCGCCUCACCCCGAAGGCCGCCCCUCCGGGCAUCCUACAGAGCCGCUCCGCCGGGGUUUGCUCUCCUCGGCGCCGCACCGCGCGGUACCGCAGCGCAGCGCCGGGGGCUGACGGCCAACCGCCCCACCUCCCCCGGAGGGCCGCGCUCGGAGCCCGGCGGAGCGGAGAGGAGAGAGGAGAGGAGAGGAAAGGAGGAGAGACGGCGGCGGGGUGAGGGCUGCGGGAGGGAGCACUGCGGGGGAGAGCGGCUCCGCGGCUGCGGAGCUAAAUCCCUCGGCUGUGCGUUCAGCCAACUCUCUCCCUGCGAGCACGGGAGAGUUCAUGAAUGUGCACAAAGGAGAGCAGCGUUUCCCGGGAGGCUGCCGCCACAAUGCGCCCAUUGAGCUGCGCCCGCGGCGCCGCGCUUCUCUACGGGGGGAAAAGUUGGGUGCCAGCGCUGAGCCGCCCCGUCCCCGCGAGCUCGGGGGUGUCGCUGCGUCCGCUUAUACCCCACCUCCCCCAGCAGCUGCUGUCCAACGUGCAGAAGAUGUACGGUGCACCCUGGUGCAGGGUGGCCUUUCUGUUUUGUACUGACCGGGCUUUUCCUGCCUAAAAACGCCGUGUCGUUUGGAGGGAGCCCCGCGGUGCUCAGGGUCUGUCCCAAUGCGCAGCCCUCUCUGGGGCCCUUUUUGUUCCGGGCUCGCUCCAAAGUCACCCAGCAUAAAAAGAGAAAGAAAACAGAGAACCCUGAGAAAACGCAGCCGUGGUGUUGUGUGUCCGAUGGGCAGCCCUCGCUGACCCCCAUCGGUCACCACGUCCCCGAGAUGAGCCGGGCUGUGGGGCAGAGCGCUGAGAUGUGGGGAAGUGUGUUUGGGAAGGUGGGAGCUGCUGGGCUGUGGGUGCUGCCGAGACGCUCAGAGAUGGGGGGAGGACGAGGUGGGGGCAGCGGCCCCUCGGGCACAUCCUGGGCAUCCCGUGCUGCUGUGCACAGACACAGCAGUGUGCAGCUGCGGGGAUCGCGUCGCCUGUUGGGGUUUCGUGCGAUGUGCGGGCAGGUUCCUUUAAAUGGGCUGAGUGCCCUCGUUGUGCUGUGAGGUGGGAUGGGGGAGCUGCGCCUCGGGGAGGGAGGACUGCUGCGAUUCCAACGGCAGAAUAAACAGAGCCGUGGUGCCCACAC